This 253-nucleotide ribosomal RNA is filed under the name uncultured bacterium. RNAcentral's name for it is "partial 16S ribosomal RNA". It matches the Rfam family "Bacterial small subunit ribosomal RNA", at positions 524 to 776 of the family's 1533-position model. The record is from RNAcentral. RNAcentral also lists the same sequence under 1 other name.
UACGUAGGAUGCAAGCGUUGUUCGGAAUUACUGGGCGUAAAGAGUACGUAGGCGGUUUGGUAAGUCUGAUAUUAAAGACCGGAGCUCAACUUCGGGACUGUAUCGGAAACUGUCAGACUAGAGGACAAUAGAGGAAGUCGGAAUUCUCAGUGUAGCGGUGAAAUGCGUAGAUAUUGGGAAGAACACCAGUGGCGAAAGCGGACUUCUGGGUUGUUACUGACGCUGAGGUACGAAAGCGUGGGGAGCAAACGGG